RNAcentral lists this ribosomal RNA (518 nucleotides) under uncultured Glomeromycotina. Its description in RNAcentral is "SSU rRNA". It matches the Rfam family "Eukaryotic small subunit ribosomal RNA", at positions 569 to 1092 of the family's 1831-position model. The record is from RNAcentral. Lineage: Eukaryota; Fungi; Glomeromycota.
AGCAGCCGCGGUAAUUCCAGCUCCAAUAGCGUAUAUUAAAGUUGUUGCAGUUAAAAAGCUCGUAGUUGAAUUUCGGGAUUAGUGCGCUGGUCAUGCCUUUGGUAUGUACUGGUGUUACUGGUUUCUACCUUCUGAAGAACCGUUAUGUCAUUCAUUUGGUGUGGCGGGGAAUCAGGACUGUUACUUUGAAAAAUUAGAGUGUUUAAAGCAGGCUCGCGCUUGAAUACAUUAGCAUGGAAUAAUGAAAUAGGACGUUUGACCCUAUUUUGUUGGUUUCUAGGAUCGACGUAAUGAUUAAUAGGGAUAGUUGGGGGCAUUAGUAUUCAAUUGUCAGAGGUGAAAUUCUUGGAUUUAUUGAAGACUAACUACUGCGAAAGCAUUUGCCAAGGAUGUUUUCAUUAAUCAAGAACGAAAGUUAGGGGAUCGAAGACGAUCAGAUACCGUCGUAGUCUUAACCAUAAACUAUGCCGACUAGGGAUCGGAUGAUGUUAUUUUAAUGACUCAUUCGGCGCCUUAAC